Molecule: ribosomal RNA, 565 nt
Filed under: uncultured archaeon
Lineage: Archaea
Description: bacterial SSU rRNA
Rfam family: Archaeal small subunit ribosomal RNA
Source: RNAcentral
CGGGGUGCAGCAGGCGCGAAAACUUCACAAUGGGAGAAAUCCCGAUGAGGGAAUUCCAAGUGCUAGCACUAUGUGUUAGCUGUUCUUUUGUCUAAAAAACAGAAGAAGUAAGGGCCGGGUAAGACGGGUGCCAGCCGCCGCGGUAAUACCCGCGGCCCGAGUGGUGGUCGAUAUUAUUGAGCCUAAAACGUCCGUAGCCGGUCUUGUAAAUCCUUGGGUAAAUCGGCCAGCUUAACUGUCCGAAGUCCGGGGAGACUGCAAGACUUGGGAUCGGGAGAGGUCAGAGGUACUUCUGGGGUAGGGGUAAAAUCCUGUAAUCCUGGAAGGACCACCGGUGGCGAAGGCGUCUGACUAGAACGAAUUCGACGGUGAGGGACGAAGCCCUGGGGCGCAAACGGGAUUAGAUACCCCGGUAGUCCAGGGUGUAAACGCUGCGGGCUUGGUGUUGGGGGUCCUUUGUGGGCGCCCAGUGCCGGAGAGAAGUUGUUAAGCCUGCUGCUUGGGGAGUACGUCCGCAAGGAUGAAACUUAAAGGAAUUGGCGGGGGAGCACAAGGGCGAAUCGCG